AUGAAAGCAAUUUGUACAUGUAGCUUUUGUCUAACACACUCUGGAAAAUCAUUAAUUUACCUUCACCACUAUAAUCCAGUAACAACACAAUUACACAUUUACACUCAUAACACAAUAGUAGAAAUUUCCAAACCACGUAUAACAUGUCAAAAUAUCUUGUAUGUUAUUCUAACAAUCUGCAGGUUCAACAAAAGAAGAAACACUAACAAAGAAAUUCAAUCACAAUCUUCCAAACUUCCAUUAACUUAUUAA
Non-coding RNA from Vicia faba (fava bean), 252 nucleotides. The record is from the annotation of a GenBank genome assembly. NCBI's taxonomy places the organism in Eukaryota, Viridiplantae, Streptophyta, Magnoliopsida, Fabales, Fabaceae.